Molecule: ribosomal RNA, 795 nt
Filed under: Triticum aestivum (bread wheat)
Lineage: Eukaryota; Viridiplantae; Streptophyta; Magnoliopsida; Poales; Poaceae
Description: partial small subunit ribosomal RNA
Source: RNAcentral
AUGGAGAAGUGGUCACUGGUGCAUGAUAGCAACGGAGCAAGAUAUGGCAUCAUGGGCACUGAUAUAACGGAUGUAUAUAAGAACGAUCCUGUAUUGAAAGGUAUAACUUGCCUUCCACUCAGUGCGAUGGUGGAGGUGACAUUCCUGCGCUUGGAAGAGUAUUUCAAAAACACAAGUGCCGCAGCAAACAAAGCAAUCGGCAACCCAUCAGUCAGCUUCCCGGAACGUGUCCAGGAUGACAUGAACUCCAAAAUGCAGAAAGCCGAGAUGCAUCAAGUUCUUGGGGGUGAAGAAGCUCUGAAAUUUACGGUGAAGUCGGGGCAGAGGCAGGUUACCGUGAACUUGAAGUCGGAAUAUACCCACAACAUGGAUAAGUCUAAAGGAUCCACAGCUCGAAAAACUGCUACCUGUUCAUGCAACAAGCCGGAGCUGCUUCACAAGCCUUGCUCUCAUGUCAUUGCCGUCUGUUGUCAUAUUGGGGUUAGCACUGCUGAAUACAUGUCCCCAUACUACAGCCUGACUUGUCUAGGCAGGACCUGGAGUAAAAAAUUCAAUGAGUUCUCACGCAACUACAGAAAGAAUUUGCCACGCUACUACAGAGAUAUUAGACCAUUCGAGCGUGAAACACCAACUUGGAUCCCAGACAAAAGAUUGGAGUGUGGUUUUCCUGUUUAUCUGUUGUCGGACUGCGCACAAACUGCCGUUGUCGUUGAAGAGCAACAGUGCACAACUGAAGAUGAAUCAGUUGCAGACAAUGAAGCAACAAAGGCACGCUCAGAAGAAUCAAGAACCUAG